GCGGAGGUUGCCAAGCCUGGCCAAAGGCGCUAGGUUGAGGGACUCGGGGCGCGUAUUCAAAUCUCGCCCUCCGCACCA
RNAcentral lists this transfer RNA (78 nucleotides) under Candidatus Thorarchaeota archaeon. Its description in RNAcentral is "tRNA-Leu". It matches the Rfam family "tRNA". From Rfam's summary of the family: Transfer RNA (tRNA) molecules are approximately 80 nucleotides in length. Their secondary structure includes four short double-helical elements and three loops (D, anti-codon, and T loops). The record is from RNAcentral. Lineage: Archaea; Promethearchaeati; Candidatus Thorarchaeota.